RNAcentral lists this ribosomal RNA (455 nucleotides) under Bacillus aerophilus. RNAcentral describes it as "bacterial SSU rRNA". It matches the Rfam family "Bacterial small subunit ribosomal RNA", at positions 944 to 1400 of the family's 1533-position model. Lineage: Bacteria; Bacillati; Bacillota; Bacilli; Caryophanales; Bacillaceae. The record is from RNAcentral.
GUGUAAUUCGAAGCAACGCGAAGAACCUUACCAGGUCUUGACAUCCUCUGACAACCCUAGAGAUAGGGCUUUCCCUUCGGGGACAGAGUGACAGGUGGUGCAUGGUUGUCGUCAGCUCGUGUCGUGAGAUGUUGGGUUAAGUCCCGCAACGAGCGCAACCCUUGAUCUUAGUUGCCAGCAUUCAGUUGGGCACUCUAAGGUGACUGCCGGUGACAAACCGGAGGAAGGUGGGGAUGACGUCAAAUCAUCAUGCCCCUUAUGACCUGGGCUACACACGUGCUACAAUGGACAGAACAAAGGGCUGCGAGACCGCAGGUUUAGCCAAUCCCACAAAUCUGUUCUCAGUUCGGAUCGCAGUCUGCAACUCGACUGCGUGAAGCUGGAAUCGCUAGUAAUCGCGGAUCAGCAUGCCGCGGUGAAUACGUUCCCGGGCCUUGUACACCCGCCCCCGUCAA